This is a long non-coding RNA of Anneissia japonica, 1278 nucleotides long. RefSeq lists it as uncharacterized. The transcript has 3 exons. NCBI's taxonomy places the organism in Eukaryota, Metazoa, Echinodermata, Crinoidea, Comatulida, Comatulidae. The record is from RefSeq and is a predicted model, not a curated record.
GUCACACUGUUACCGCAUUUCUUCAUUACUGCUUUAAGUGUGGCCAGUGGAAGAGAGUGUGACCGAUAUAGAUAACAGUGUGCAUACAGGUGUCAUGGUUUCAAUUGGUGUUCAUUCAAAUUGAGCUGAAUUAAAUUAGAGAGAUUCAAAUAUUAAUUAAUAGUCUACAAUACAUACCCCACAAAUAAUUUCAAAUUAUUGCAAUAGGAAUUAUUUAAAUUAAUAUAUGCCCACUGGAAUCUUUUUUUGACAUUCUGGUUACCUCCUCAUCAAGCGGUUUGACGAACGCCGUCCCAUCCAAGCAUCAAACAUAAUAUACUUACGGUCACCUUUCUUGGAUAUGCGAAACCUGAGUCUGUUAACAAGUAUACGGCUUAUUAAUUCCUUUUGAAAAAUCGCCAAAUGUCGACACAUUCUCAAAGUUUCUAUCUGUAAGGUGGUUCUUCGGGCCAUGGCCAGGAAAUGCAAAAAUUAAAUAUGUUAAUGAAGGCGAUUAUGCUGAGAAAACAAAUUUAGGUGUGACCACGCCCCCAAACAUGUGGACAAAAAAAAACCAUCUACUGGACCUCGAUGUAUGACACUUAUAAAGCAGGAAAGACUGAUUUGGUCCCAUGACUAUUGCUGGAAAGGAAGGAAGGAAGGAGAGCCCAAAAUAUAUCCACCCAAGUAUAUAAACAUGAUUAACGUCCACAAAACUAUAAACGAAAGAAAAAAAAUCACAAACAUUGAAGGAUAUUCAUAAAAAUAUCAAAGUAAAGAUACUGCAUAAUUCUGUCAUAAAAAUGGUCAUUGCUUACAUCAACCCUGGCCUAUCAAUACAUUAACAUAAGCCUAAACAAUAUCGCAUAUUGUUCCCUGGAGUAAUUAUUGGAAAGCUCAAAUAAGAUUUAAAAAUUGAUAUUAAUUUUCAACAUCGUACACUUUUGAGUGCAGAUCAGUUUUACCAUAUUUUUUUCUAUCACAUUUUCUAAUACUUCAUUAAUCAUUUACCAUACCGCUAUGUCAUGUUCUAUCCUCUCUCGUACGAAACCCGAUGUAGUUAUAACUAAUUAUAACAAUUUUUAGGCCUUAGUAAUAUUUUGAGGCUGAAUAACUAGUAAGCUAAGAGUUUACUUAAUGACUGCUUAAUGCUGCACCUAAACUAUAGUUAGGUUAGAUUUUAGCUCAUCUAGAGUUAAACAGCCGAUUUCGUGAAAGAGAGGAGAGGAAGCUAACUUCAUAUAUUAAUUUCACAUUCGCUUUAACAUCAGAUUAACCUGUCAGGAGAUCUGCAUUCAU